This 1346-nucleotide ribosomal RNA is filed under the name Nuttallia olivacea. Its description in RNAcentral is "16S ribosomal RNA". The stretch from base 659 to 1346 matches the Rfam family "Archaeal large subunit ribosomal RNA", at positions 1423 to 2907 of the family's 2987-position model. Lineage: Eukaryota; Metazoa; Mollusca; Bivalvia; Cardiida; Psammobiidae. The record is from RNAcentral.
UAGGAAAUAUAAUUUUAAGGUAGUUAUCUGAAUUAGCAUAUAAGGUGUAUUAUUUAAGAUGUCUGUUAGGUAUAUUCUGUUGGGAAUAAGUAAUUAGUAGAAAAGAAUCGUUUAGUUCUGGUACUUUUUGCAUCAUGGCUUAUAGAGUGAGAUAAGUUUGGUUGAUUCCUGAAAGCCCUUGAGCUUUCCUGACUAAAGAGAGAAUUAUAAUGGCCUUAGGGGGAAUAAAAUAUUUUAGGACUUUUAUGAGCAUUUCUAUUAAACUAAUGUUGUAGAAUUAAUUUUAAGGUUAGGAAAGGUGUGAAAUGCUAUUCGUAAGGGUUGGUAGCUGGUUAGAGGGGAAACAUAUAUCAGUAUGGGGCUAAAUAAAUAUUUUUCUUAUAAUAAAGUGAAAAUUGUUUAGUACUUAUGUUAUUGGGUUCCGCUCGGUAAUAUAAAUAGUGAGAAUUAAUUGUUUAGUAGGAUUAGUAGUGUUCAUCUAUAUAAUAUUAGUAUAAAAUAACUAAGUUAAGAAUUUUUAAUUAGGUACCCUUUUACUGUGUAAAAUGUCUAUACAUUUAAUUAGUAUAAGAUUAGUAGAUUAGCGGUUUAAUAAUAUAUCCAUUUACAUGAAAAGUGGAAGUUUAUGAUUUAAGUAGUAGGUAGUAUAUAAACGUGGGUACUACACCACAUUUACAUACUGUUGUAAAAAAUUAUUCUUAAUGAACUCGGCAAAUAUUUUCUGCGCCUGUUUACUAAAAACAUCGCCUCUUGAUUUUUGUUGAAAAGGGGUCUGUCCUGCCCGGUGAGCAAUAGCUUUAACGGUCGCAGUUAAAACUGUGCUAAGGUAGCGCAAUCAAUCGUCCUUUAAUUGGGGAAAGGUAUGAAGGAUUGACGUGGAAAGUCUUUAUUAAGAGUAUAUAUUGAAUUUUACAUCUUGGUGCAAAGGCUAAGAUAAUAUUGUUAGACGAGAAGACCCUAUUGAGCUUGGUAUAAUUCUUAGGUAAGUUUACUUAUUUAAGGGUAGCAUGUUUUUUCGGGAAAGCUAGGGAGGAAAAACUAUGCCUCCCUUUUUAAUAUGCAGAUCCAGCAUGGCUGAUAAAAAGAAGAUAGUUACCAUAGGGAUAACAGCACAAUCGCCCCGACGAGGUCUUAUUUGAGGGGCGGUUUGUAACCUCGAUGUUGAAUUAAGAUUUCUUCUAGGUGUAGCAGCUUAGAAAGUGGGACUGUUCGUCCUUUAAAAUCUUACAUGAUUUGAGUUUAGACCGGCGUGAGCUAGGUCAGUUUCUAUCUACAUGUUAAUUGUCUUUGUACGAAAGGAUCGGACUGUGUAACUAUAAUGUUGUUAAUGAAUUUAUAAUAUUAAU